GAUGAACGCUGGCGGCGUGCCUAAUACAUGCAAGUCGAGCGAACGGACGAGAAGCUUGCUUCUCUGAUGUUAGCGGCGGACGGGUGAGUAACACGUGGAUAACCUACCUAUAAGACUGGGAUAACUUCGGGAAACCGGAGCUAAUACCGGAUGAUAUUUUGAACCGCAUGGUUCAAAAGUGAAAGACGGUCUUGCUGUCACUUAUAGAUGGAUCCGCGCUGCAUUAGCUAGUUGGUAAGGUAACGGCUUACCAAGGCAACGAUGCAUAGCCGACCUGAGAGGGUGAUCGGCCACACGGGAACUGAGACACGGUCCAGACUCCUACGGGAGGCAGCAGUAGGGAAUCUUCCGCAAUGGGCGAAAGCCUGACGGAGCACCGCCGCGUGAGUGAUGAAGGUCUUCGGAUCGUAAAACUCUGUUAUUAGGGAAGAACAUAUGUGUAAGUAACUGUGCACAUCUUGACGGUACCUAAUCAGAAAGCCACGGCUAACUACGUG
Molecule: ribosomal RNA, 497 nt
Filed under: uncultured bacterium
Lineage: Bacteria
Description: partial 16S ribosomal RNA
Rfam family: Bacterial small subunit ribosomal RNA
Source: RNAcentral